Molecule: non-coding RNA, 1790 nt
Organism: Paralichthys olivaceus (Japanese flounder)
Lineage: Eukaryota; Metazoa; Chordata; Actinopteri; Pleuronectiformes; Paralichthyidae
Source: RefSeq, a predicted model, not a curated record
CCCCCUACAGGUGAUCAGAAAGGUGGUUUGGCGCGUGGCCAACUCUGAGGAAAGGAGGGAAAGUGAAGGCGAGAAAGAAGGAGCUGGUGGUGGUGGUGGUGGUGGCGGUGUAGCAACAGGUGGAGCAGACGCCGCUUCUCCUUCUCCUCGAGCAGGGGCCUCAGGGGGGAAGGGCAAGAAGAGAGGGAAACGCUCCAGACAGGGCCACAAGGCGGAGAAGUCUGGAGAGGAGGCCCAGAGAGGGAAAACUGAGUCUGGAGACGGUGCCAACAAGAAACAAGGGAAGAAGAGUCAGUCAUAACAGUGGAGCUCUGAACCUAAGCUGGUCCAGUGACGUCCACCUGCGACACCACACACACCCUGGACAGGAAAAACAAACUGGAGUCCCUGAAAACAGAGACAACGCCUCGUCAAUCAGCCAAAAUACGUGUCUGACGCUUUCACUCUACAACGCAUGGUCUUCAACAAGGCGACCCAAAACAAGUUACUUUUCUUUGAUUUCGCAUGAGCAUGUCACCAAACUCACUCACUCACUGUCCGGACACGACACAGAAGGACACGCACGGACAUGAGCUGGAACUUUUUCUUUCGUCUUUCGCGAAUGAACGGCGUCUGAGGCCAAAGACGACAUCGACGGGGAAAAAAAACUAAAAGACGUGUGAGUCACUCUCUCUCUCAGACACUCGCCUUAUAUGGUCUAUUUUUUUCCUCCCGGACCCAGUGUUGGGCUGCACCACGUGGUUCUUUUUUAAAAAAUGAAAUAUAAUAGUAAAUGGGGGAUUUUGUUGUAUAUAAGUGACACUGUAUAAAAAUCUUUUAAAAAAAAAAAAAAUCAGUAGCUUCACAGAUUGUUUAUGCACUGAUUUGAGUUGAAGCUUUGCAGAGUCGAUGCAUUUGUAUCGAGGUCGACAGAGUGAGACCUGACGUGCUCUUCCCAAAUUAAAUCAUUAAAAAACUCCAUGUAAACGGGAAACAAAAAAACUGCUCGAUUUCAAACGGACGUUUCUUUAAACAGCUUCUUCCGCUCAGUCUGUGGAACAUUGUCGUCAGAGAAAUGAUAACGUUGCUGCAUGUGACGUCAACUUAAUUUUAACGCUUUUCUUUCGUUUCCCCCCUAAUUCAAAGCUCUGUCAUACGAUCUGGUGAUUCUGUCGCGAUAACUCAACCAUCUGUCAUCAAUUAACUGUUUUUAUUUUUUUUUUUAUAAGACGCACUCAAGCAGCAAGAUAACAAAGCUUCAUUUUUACGCAUCAGCAAGUUACUGAGGUUCCCUGAAUGUAACCUGCUGACCUGCAACAUUGCAUUUUCUCCACACUGCUCGCAGCCCCGUGUGUGUGUGUGUGUGUGUGUGUGUGUGUGUGUGACAUUAAAUAAAAACUUUCUGUAUCUCGUCUAUCAAGCAAACUAGAAGUGAGAGUGUCGGCUUCGGGUCUGCUGUGGUUUUUAAAAAGGGGACUUUUAUUUUAUUUUGAUGGUUUGAUGACUUGUAUCUUUAUUUAAUUUACACUAGAACAGAGGAUUGAAUUUUUUUUUUUAGCCCCGCCACUCACGCCUGAUCCUUUUUAUUAACGACUAAAAUCACAGAAAAGAAAUCGGUGUUAAUCAAACAUUAAAAAUCGGAUUUUCUGUUCUUCUGUAAGUCACUUUGUUUUUCUUUUCAUACGAAGCCACCCUGCGAAUCCAUUGUUGAUGAUGAAUCUGGUACCGACAUGUAUGAUGAACCGACAUAGCUUACACUGGAUGAUCCAAGUAAUUAUUUAAGCAGAAAAAUAAAUUGUGUUUAAACUACA